CCCACACUCUCAUGUCGAAACAUAAUUUAUGAUAUCAAGUUGGAAAUCAAUAGAAAUGGCUAUGAAGGUCGGUUGGGUUGGACGAUUCUCUGGAGGAUGAGAGAGAUUUGGACAUGGCAGAUCGUAGGGCUACAGAGAUUGAGCUUGAUACCAUGGAGGGUUUUGCGUCAAGGGAAAAGCUCCACCAUCAUCUCAACGACCAAGGUUUCUUGACUUGAAGUUUAGUUUGUCUAUCAUAUUUAGAGAUAAUAAACGAGUCUCUGGGAGAACCAACUCUGAUGAUGUUUAAAUUAGAUGAGAAGCUGAAGUUGAUAGAAUCUCGUCUGGAAAGCAAAAAUUGAGGGCCCACUUCAGGCUUACAUCCUCGUUGACGUACAUCACGUGAUAUUCCUCCGGUGUGGAGUUAAGAAUUUGGGGGUUUCUUUCAAGAAGCAAGUAAAAUGUAC
Long non-coding RNA from Lactuca sativa (garden lettuce), 446 nucleotides. RefSeq lists it as uncharacterized. The record is from RefSeq and is a predicted model, not a curated record. NCBI's taxonomy places the organism in Eukaryota, Viridiplantae, Streptophyta, Magnoliopsida, Asterales, Asteraceae.